Molecule: ribosomal RNA, 301 nt
Filed under: uncultured bacterium
Lineage: Bacteria
Description: partial 16S ribosomal RNA
Rfam family: Bacterial small subunit ribosomal RNA
Source: RNAcentral
CAGUAGCCGCGGUAAUACGAAGGGUGCUAGCGUUGUUCGGAUUUACUGGGCGUAAAGCGCACGUAGGCGGAUCGAUCAGUCAGGGGUGAAAUCCCAGAGCUCAACUCUGGAACUGCCUUUGAUACUGUCGAUCUGGAGUAUGGAAGAGGUGAGUGGAAUUCCGAGUGUAGAGGUGAAAUUCGUAGAUAUUCGGAGGAACACCAGUGGCGAAGGCGGCUCACUGGUCCAUUACUGACGCUGAGGUGCGAAAGCGUGGGGAGCAAACAGGAUUAGAUACCCCAGUAGUCCCUGUCUCUUAUAC